GUUGAACGCUGGCGGCGUGCCUAAUACAUGCAAGUCGAGCGAACAGAUAAGGAGCUUGCUCCUUUGACGUUAGCGGCGGACGGGUGAGUAACACGUGGGUAACCUACCUAUAAGACUGGAAUAACUCCGGGAAACCGGGGCUAAUGCCGGAUAACAUUUAGAACCGCAUGGUUCUAAAGUGAAAGAUGGUUUUGCUAUCACUUAUAGAUGGACCCGCGCCGUAUUAGCUAGUUGGUAAGGUAACGGCUUACCAAGGCAACGAUACGUAGCCGACCUGAGAGGGUGAUCGGCCACACUGGAACUGAGACACGGUCCAGACUCCUACGGGAGGCAGCAGUAGGGAAUCUUCCGCAAUGGGCGAAAGCCUGACGGAGCAACGCCGCGUGAGUGAUGAAGGUCUUCGGAUCGUAAAACUCUGUUAUUAGGGAAGAACAAAUGUGUAAGUAACUGUGCACGUCUUGACGGUACCUAAUCAGAAAGCCACGGCUAACUACGUG
RNAcentral lists this ribosomal RNA (497 nucleotides) under uncultured bacterium. RNAcentral's name for it is "partial 16S ribosomal RNA". It matches the Rfam family "Bacterial small subunit ribosomal RNA", at positions 28 to 507 of the family's 1533-position model. The record is from RNAcentral.